Molecule: ribosomal RNA, 292 nt
Filed under: uncultured bacterium
Lineage: Bacteria
Description: partial 16S ribosomal RNA
Rfam family: Bacterial small subunit ribosomal RNA
Source: RNAcentral
GUGCCAGCAGCCGCGGUAAUACAGAGGGUGCAAGCGUUGUUCGGAAUUAUUGGGCGUAAAGCGCGUGUAGGCGGCUUUGCAAGUCGGGUGUGAAAGCCCUCAGCUCAACUGAGGAAGUGCGCCCGAAACUGCAGAGCUUGAGUGCCGGAGAGGGUGGCGGAAUUCCCCAAGUAGAGGUGAAAUUCGUAGAUAUGGGGAGGAACACCGGUGGCGAAGGCGGCCACCUGGACGGUAACUGACGCUGAGACGCGAAAGCGUGGGGAGCAAACAGGAUUAGAUACCCUGGUAGUCC